GAAAUACCACCCUUUAAUGUUUGAUGUUCUAACGUUGACCCGUGAUCCGGGUUGCGGACAGUGUCUGGUGGGUAGUUUGACUGGGGCGGUCUCCUCCUAAAGAGUAACGGAGGAGCACGAAGGUUGGCUAAUCCUGGUCGGACAUCAGGAGGUUAGUGCAAUGGCAUAAGCCAGCUUGACUGCGAGCGUGACGGCGCGAGCAGGUGCGAAAGCAGGUCAUAGUGAUCCGGUGGUUCUGAAUGGAAGGGCCAUCGCUCAACGGAUAAAAGGUACUCCGGGGAUAACAGGCUGAUACCGCCCAAGAGUUCAUAUCGACGGCGGUGUUUGGCACCUCGAUGUCGGCUCAUCACAUCCUGGGGCUGAAGUAGGUCCCAAGGGUAUGGCUGUUCGCCAUUUAAAGUGGUACGCGAGCUGGGUUUAGAACGUCGUGAGACAGUUCGGUCCCUAUCUGCCGUGGGCGCUGGAGAACUGAGGGGGGCUGCUCCUAGUACGAGAGGACCGGAGUGGACGCAUCACUGGUGUUCGGGUUGUCAUGCCAAUGGCACUGCCCGGUAGCUAAAUGCGGAAGAGAUAAGUGCUGAAAGCAUCUAAGCACGAAACUUGCCCCGAGAUGAGUUCUCCCUGACUCCUUGAGAGUCCUGAAGGAACGUUGAAGACGACGACGUUGAUAGGCCGGGUGUGUAAGCGCAGCGAUGCGUUGAGCUAACCGGUACUAAUGAACCGUGAGG
This 728-nucleotide ribosomal RNA is filed under the name Escherichia coli. Its description in RNAcentral is "partial 23S ribosomal RNA". It matches the Rfam family "Bacterial large subunit ribosomal RNA", at positions 2194 to 2916 of the family's 2925-position model. Lineage: Bacteria; Pseudomonadati; Pseudomonadota; Gammaproteobacteria; Enterobacterales; Enterobacteriaceae. The record is from RNAcentral.